RNAcentral lists this ribosomal RNA (303 nucleotides) under uncultured bacterium. RNAcentral describes it as "partial 16S ribosomal RNA". It matches the Rfam family "Bacterial small subunit ribosomal RNA", at positions 507 to 807 of the family's 1533-position model. The record is from RNAcentral.
AGCAGUCGCCGCGGUAAUACGUAGGGUGCAAGAGUUAAUCGGAAUUACUGGGCGUAAAGCGUGCGCAGGCGGUUAUAUAAGACAGAUGUGAAAUCCCCGGGCUCAACCUGGGAACUGCAUUUGUGACUGUAUAGCUAGAGUACGGCAGAGGGGGAUGGAAUUCCGCGUGUAGCAGUGAAAUGCGUAGAUAUGCGGAGGAACACCGAUGGCGAAGGCAAUCCCCUGGGCCUGUACUGACGCUCAUGCACGAAAGCGUGGGGAGCAAACAGGAUUAGAUACCCCCGUAGUUCCUGUCUCUUAUAC